GCUGGUGUGGCUCAAUGGCAGAGCAGCUGAUUUGUAAUCAGCAGGUUGGGGGUUCGACUCCCUUCACCAGCU
This is a non-coding RNA of Clostridiales bacterium GWF2_38_85, 72 nucleotides long. Lineage: Bacteria; Bacillati; Bacillota; Clostridia; Eubacteriales. The record is from Rfam.